GAGGGUAUAGCUCAAGUGGUAAAGCGCAUGCUUGGCACAUAGGAGGUCCUGGGUUCGAUCCCCAGUACCUCCU
This 73-nucleotide transfer RNA is filed under the name Camelus bactrianus (Bactrian camel). It matches the Rfam family "tRNA". Rfam says of the family: Transfer RNA (tRNA) molecules are approximately 80 nucleotides in length. Their secondary structure includes four short double-helical elements and three loops (D, anti-codon, and T loops). RNAcentral also lists the same sequence under 1 other name. Lineage: Eukaryota; Metazoa; Chordata; Mammalia; Artiodactyla; Camelidae. The record is from Rfam by way of RNAcentral.